RNAcentral lists this long non-coding RNA (286 nucleotides) under Mytilus galloprovincialis (Mediterranean mussel). The record is from RNAcentral. Lineage: Eukaryota; Metazoa; Mollusca; Bivalvia; Mytilida; Mytilidae.
GCUCACAUUAUAUAGAAGAGAGAAAUAAAUUUAUAAAUCGAAAUUUUAGUAGAAGACCAAAUAUUAUACUAUUUAGUGAAAUUAUGUCGUCUACAAACAAGGCAGAUCUCACAAAUGUAUGUAAGUUUAUACGAAUUAUAAACAAGCGAGUGUGUCCUCCUGCAUAAAUUCUGUUUGUUUUGUUGUUGUUGUAUAUAUUGUAUAUUUAUGUUUAUGUGUUUAAUGUAUUGUAUUACAUGUCUUCUCUGUACCUAUGUAUUUGGUGAUGAGAAUAAAAGAUAAAUAA